UGCAUUAGUCCGGAGUUGAUGGGUUAUCUGAAAUCUUCUUGCUGCCUUCGGGUAACACCCUGGUCUCCUUGUGAAACCAAAACCAUCCAUUGGACAAACCCGCGUUCUUACAAAGAAUGCAAACCCUUCCCAUCACACCACUUGACCGAUCU
RNAcentral lists this small RNA (152 nucleotides) under Caenorhabditis remanei. Its description in RNAcentral is "Nematode sRNA ceN72-3_ceN74-2". It matches the Rfam family "Nematode sRNA ceN72-3_ceN74-2". The record is from Rfam by way of RNAcentral. Lineage: Eukaryota; Metazoa; Nematoda; Chromadorea; Rhabditida; Rhabditidae.